AUGAGCUUAAUUGUUGUUUGUAUGCCUCUUUUGGUAAUUAAUAAAGUUUGGUUUUCUGAAAAAAAAAAGCAAUUUCAACCGUUUUUAGCUAACGGGUGAUUCGCUUUAUAUUUAUCUCUAAUUGCUCAAGUAUGUAAACUUUGAAAAAUUGUUUAAACACGGACUUAUGAUUAGUUUUUUUAUAUUUACUUUGAAAAAUUUACGGAACUGUUUCAAAGGAUUAUGUGGUUGACUUGAAGCAAUCAUCAGCCGAUGAAGCGUAACCUUAGUGAUUUGUAUGCGAUUGAACAGGGACUGGGGUCGUCAGCAAGUAAACCUCGCAUAAGUGUUGACAUCAUUUGUCUUGAUGAAGAUGUUGCCAAGAAUUGAUAAACGAGAUAAGUGAUUGUUACAAUAAAAAAACAUUUGGUUUGUUAUUGGAGUGUUUGCUUUGAGUUUUUUAUUUUGUAUUUAAAACAUUUAUAUGGUUUCCCUAUUUAAUAUGACAUUUUGAGU
This 495-nucleotide long non-coding RNA is filed under the name Helianthus annuus (common sunflower). RNAcentral's name for it is "hypothetical non coding rna". Lineage: Eukaryota; Viridiplantae; Streptophyta; Magnoliopsida; Asterales; Asteraceae. The record is from RNAcentral.